This is a long non-coding RNA of Felis catus (domestic cat), 2916 nucleotides long. RefSeq lists it as uncharacterized. The record is from RefSeq and is a predicted model, not a curated record. Lineage: Eukaryota; Metazoa; Chordata; Mammalia; Carnivora; Felidae. The transcript has 3 exons.
CAUUAGCAGAGUCUCAGACCUUAGCAACAGAAUCAAUAACAACAGGCUAACAUAAUUACACUGUAGAGGGCAGAUUGUGUCGGCUAUUACUUUAUUAAGAAAGAACAACAUGUGUGAAAGAACAGCAUCCUGCAAGGACGGAAGACUCGAGAGAAUGCAGGAAAGAGGGCAAGGCGGUUCACAAAUAUGCUGAAUUGAAAGAAUCAGGAUCACACCCUGAAAUAGCAGGAAAAUGAAUGUUUGCUUUCUCUGGCUUAUUAUUUGCUUAGUGAUACUUCAGCGUUUCUAAAAGAUAAAUGCCUUGGCUGUUGUUCUAUCAGUCUCUCUGCUUUAUUUAAUUUUACAAAGAGGAAUGCUCAGAUGUUAAAAUAUUUGUUCUCUUUUCACUUAGGAUUUGCUUCAUUUUCUACUCAAAAUGGAAUGACCCUCCGAGUUGUCUCCACUCCAGUAGGCUGUCCAGUAAAUUCUGUCUGCCAUGGUUCUUCUGGACGUCUAACUCCGUCUCCUUAACUCAGGGAGUCCUUUCCCUGGGUUCCCUGCAACACGCCCCGUCUCUUCAGUACAGCCUGGAAACGCUCUUCUGACGACACUCCUUAGGGUAAAGACAGACAACUGCCCAGGGAAAGGAUAGCUGAUUUUGGAACAAGGCUCUGACGGGGACUUUUCAUCAGGGUGCUUCAUAAAGAAGACACUGGGAGGUCGUGCUCAACUUCGUUGGCAGCAGGUAUCCUAAAUCCACUCCUGUGGCCUUAGCAGGCAUGGCUGCCCAGUGACCAGCCUGUGUUUAAUCAUCAGCCUGCUGAGGUGAUUUAUUUUGUAUCUUGUAUUUUUUAUUUUAUUUGUUUGCCUUCUGCUGAGUUCUGACCAGGCAGCGAUCCAUGUAACAAAAAGAUGAUAACAUUGUGAGAGGAGAACACGUGUAGAAUGUUAGCGGUCACUCAACAAGAGCUGGAGAUUUCUGAAAGACAGGGUGAGAAUACGUGAUGUUUAGAAACCACAAAUGGGACCCCUCCUCAGGUGGAAGCAUGUUUCCAAUCAAUCUGAACUAUGUGCUGUUGCAUGGGAAUAGACUUUUGAGAAGUAUGGGAUGAGGUGAUGAAGAAAAUUUACUGUGCUUAGGGAAGGCAAAUGAUUGGUAAAGUAUCUUAUCUAGGGUAGUUAAAAUACAUACACACACCAUACUUUGAUGAAUUCAGCCUAGGCACAGGGGCAUAAUUGACAUACCAGAGUCAACAAGGUGAGGAGUAGAAUAGGGGAAUCAAUUGUGGCAUAUUCAUACAAUGGCAUACAGCCACGUGCCAUAACAUGAGUUAAUCUCACAAACAUGUUGAGACCAAGAAAGAAGCCAGACAUAAAGGACUAUAGAUUUUUGAAUUCCAUUUAUAUGGAGUUCCAAACUAAGUAAAACUUAACAAGAGUAUUAGAAACUUGGAUCAUGGUUAGGAUCAUGGUUAACUUUGGGGAGAAGGGUGGGUGUUUUGACUCAUAAAAGACAUAAGCAAUAUUUCUGGGGGUGUCAGUAAUAUUCUCUCUCUACAUCUUAGUGAUGGUAACAUUGGCAUUUGCUCUGAGAAAUUCAUUGUGUGAUUCACUGAACUUCACAAUUACAUUCUGUGUACUUUUCUAUAUGUGUGUUUUAUUAAAAAAACAGCAAGAAAACUUUAUUUAAAAUUUUGAAUAGUGAAAAAUAUUUUAAAGCUCAGUUUUUAAAAUCAAAACAUGUUUAUUUUUAAAAUUAAAAGUGUAUAGAAUUAACCUACAGACAAUGGAAAGCAAUGUUAACUAUUUAACUAGAAUUUUGGAGAACAUUCUGCAAACACUCCCUUCACCUAAAUAUAUAUGUAUAAAAUGAAUAGAAUGUCAACUAUAAGUAGUUUCUGGCUAUUAAUGGAACGACUUCAGGUUAAUUGUAUAACUUAGUGUAUUUUUUUAGUGUUAUAAUGGGGAACUAAAUGUGUUUCAGAGAGUAAAACACUGAAAGAUUCAUUCGGGACCCUUGGUGAACGAAGGGGUUUUACUUUGUGUUCAGUUCUAUAUCUCCAGUUCUCAGAACAAUGUUUACGACAUAAUAGGUACCAGGUAAAUAGCUGUUGAAAAAGAGUAAAUGCGUAUUUGAGUAUUUUGCUCUCUGAGAGGAGAAGAUGGUGACCGUACUAGGGUGUGGCUGACAAUCUUACUUCAUGUCUAUUAAAUGCAGUGUUGCAAUUGUAAAUAAGUCUUUGCCUACUGGACAUUUUUGUCAUUCUCGUUGCCUUGGGAACAGAGAUGAGGCAGAAGAAAACAACACUGGCCAAAGGCAAGGGUGUGGAACAGCCUGGCUCUGUGUGGGGAAGAGUGAGUAAGGAAUUCCUUUUGGCUGAAGGGUAAGGGUUGGGGGGAAGGGAGGGAGUUAAGGAUGGAAGAUGGUAGAAAUCGUAAAGUUAGGAUAAGGCCACUGUGUGACAUUCAACAUCAAAUGAUAGCUCCACCCUUUUCAUUUGUGCUCACACAUGCCUGCAUGCCAUCAUUCCGGCCCCUAAUGCCACAGUGAAGGCCAAUGAGAUGAACGGGCCCCAUGGUAGUUUAUGUUCAAUUUUCCUGAAACCUGCAAAGCUUUUUCUAGAAUGUAUCUGGGUGUCUAGAGAACAUCAAGAUAACUGGGAGAAAAAGGAUCUGAUUGCUGCUGUGUGGUAAUAAAUGCUUGAUUCACUCUUUCAUUCAUUCAAAAUGGGUCUACUUUUCAAUGAGUAAAUGUCUGAAGGUUGCAGGCAUCUCCAAGACUCAGUCUUAGCUCUGGCCAUCGCUCAAAACCACAAGACUUUUGGGGCACGUGGGUGGCUCAGUUGGUUAAGCAUCAAACUUCGGCUCAGGUCAUGAUCUCAUGGCUCGUAGGUUCGAGCCCCGUGUCAGGCUCUGUGCUGACAGCUCAGCCUGGAG